RNAcentral lists this ribosomal RNA (468 nucleotides) under uncultured bacterium. RNAcentral's name for it is "partial 16S ribosomal RNA". It matches the Rfam family "Bacterial small subunit ribosomal RNA", at positions 28 to 507 of the family's 1533-position model. The record is from RNAcentral.
GACGAACGCUGGCGGCGUGCUUAACACAUGCAAGUCGAACGGAAAGGCCCUGCUUUUGUGGGGUGCUCGAGUGGCGAACGGGUGAGUAACACGUGAGUAACCUGCCCUUGACUUUGGGAUAACUUCAGGAAACUGGGGCUAAUACCGGAUAGGAGCUCCUGCUGCAUGGUGGGGGUUGGAACGUUUCGGCGGUUGGGGAUGGACUCGCGGCUUAUCAGCUUGUUGGUGGGGUAGUGGCUUACCAAGGCUUUGCCGGGUAGCCGGCCUGAGAGGGUGACCGGCCACAUUGGGACUGAGAUACGGCCCAGACUCCUACGGGAGGCAGCAGUGGGGAAUAUUGCACAAUGGGCGGAAGCCUGAGGCAGCAACGCCGCGGGCGGGAUGACGGCCUUCGGGUUGUAAACCGCUUUCGCCUGUUACGAAGCGUGAGUGACGGUAAUGGGUAAAGAAGCACCGGCUAACUACGUG